CAUAUAUCUCUUACGGGAAGGAUGAGAAGCUUCGACUAAGGUUCGAUUCGAGCGAAAGCGAGAAAGCGUUGCCGCAGGCAACGACCCGAAGGGCGAAGCGCGCAGCGCUGAGUCAUCCUUCCCCCACCACCA
RNAcentral lists this small RNA (132 nucleotides) under Salmonella enterica. Its description in RNAcentral is "RtT sRNA". It matches the Rfam family "RtT RNA". Rfam says of the family: This family represents a bacterial cis-regulatory element known as RtT RNA. The record is from RNAcentral. Lineage: Bacteria; Pseudomonadati; Pseudomonadota; Gammaproteobacteria; Enterobacterales; Enterobacteriaceae.